Molecule: ribosomal RNA, 254 nt
Filed under: uncultured bacterium
Lineage: Bacteria
Description: partial 16S ribosomal RNA
Rfam family: Bacterial small subunit ribosomal RNA
Source: RNAcentral
UACGGAGGGAGCUAGCGUUAUUCGGAAUUACUGGGCGUAAAGCGCACGUAGGCGGAUUGUUAAGUCGGGGGUGAAAUCCUGGAGCUCAACUCCAGAACUGCCUUCGAUACUGGCGAUCUCGAGUCCGGGAGAGGUGAGUGGAAUUGCGAGUGUAGAGGUGAAAUUCGUAGAUAUUCGCAGGAACACCAGUGGCGAAGGCGGCUUACUGGUCCAUAACUGACGCUGAGGUGCGAAAGCGUGGGGAGCAAACAGGG